Molecule: ribosomal RNA, 1432 nt
Filed under: uncultured organism
Description: 16S ribosomal RNA
Rfam family: Bacterial small subunit ribosomal RNA
Source: RNAcentral
UGGCGGCGUGCUUAACACAUGCAAGUCGAACGGAAAGGCCCUGCUUUUGUGGGGUGCUCGAGUGGCGAACGGGUGAGUAACACGUGAGUAACCUGCCCUUGACUUUGGGAUAACUUCAGGAAACUGGGGCUAAUACCGGAUAGGAGCUCCUGCUGCAUGGUGGGGGUUGGAAAGUUUCGGCGGUUGGGGAUGGACUUGCGGCUAAUCAGCUUGUUGGUGGGGUAGUGGCUUACCAAGGCUUUGACGGGUAGCCGGCCUGAGAGGGUGACCGGCCACAUUGGGACUGAGAUACGGCCCAGACUCCUACGGGAGGCAGCAGUGGGGAAUAUUGCACAAUGGGCGGAAGCCUGAUGCAGCAACGCCGCGUGCGGGAUGACGGCCUUCGGGUUGUAAACCGCUUUCGCCUGUGACGAAGCGUGAGUGACGGUAAUGGGUAAAGAAGCACCGGCUAACUACGUGCCAGCAGCCGCGGUGAUACGUAGGGUGCGAGCGUUGUCCGGAUUUAUUGGGCGUAAAGGGCUCGUAGGUGGUUGAUCGCGUCGGAAGUGUAAUCUUGGGGCUUAACCCUGAGCGUGCUUUCGAUACGGGUUGACUUGAGGAAGGUAGGGGAGAAUGGAAUUCCUGGUGGGGCGGUGGAAUGCGCAGAUAUCAGGAGGAACACCAGUGGCGAAGGCGGUUCUCUGGGCCUUUCCUGACGCUGAGGAGCGAAAGCGUGGGGAGCGAACAGGCUUAGAUACCCUGGUAGUCCACGCUGUAAACGGUGGGUACUAGGUGUGGGGUCCAUUCCACGGGUUCCGUGCCGUAGCUAACGCUUUAAGUACCCCGCCUGGGGAGUACGGCCGCAAGGCUAAAACUCAAAGGAAUUGACGGGGCCCCGCACAAGCGGCGGAGCAUGCGGAUUAAUUCGAUGCAACGCGUAGAACCUUACCUGGGUUUGACAUGGAUCGGGAGUGCUCAGAGAUGGGUGUGCCUCUUUUGGGGUCGGUUCACAGGUGGUGCAUGGCUGUCGUCAGCUCGUGUCGUGAGAUGUUGGGUUAAGUCCCGCAACGAGCGCAACCCUUGUUCACUGUUGCCAGCACGUUAUGGUGGGGACUCAGUGGAGACCGCCGGGGUCAACUCGGAGGAAGGUGGGGAUGACGUCAAGUCAUCAUGCCCCUUAUGUCCAGGGCUUCACGCAUGCUACAAUGGCUGGUACAGAGAGUGGCGAGCCUGUGAGGGUGAGCGAAUCUCGGAAAGCCGGUCUCAGUUCGGAUUGGGGUCUGCAACUCGACCUCAUGAAGUCGGAGUCGCUAGUAAUCGCAGAUCAGCAACGCUGCGGUGAAUACGUUCCCGGGGCUUGUACACACCGCCCGUCAAGUCAUGAAAGUUGGUAACACCCGAAGCCGGUGGCCUAACCGUUGUGGGGGAGCCGUCGAAGGUGGGACUGGUGAUU